Vespa velutina is the source of this 3481-nucleotide long non-coding RNA. RefSeq lists it as uncharacterized. The transcript is spliced from 3 exons. NCBI's taxonomy places the organism in Eukaryota, Metazoa, Arthropoda, Insecta, Hymenoptera, Vespidae. The record is from RefSeq and is a predicted model, not a curated record.
AUCCCCCAUCGAAUUAUUUCGUUAUCAUAUAUAUAUAUAUAUACACAUAUAUAUAUGUUUUUUUUUCUAAAUACAUAUAAGGGGCCCUAAAUGUUUUCGGAGAUUCGUUCAGGUAAAAUUUAUAUAAAAAAGAAAAGAAAUUUGAAAACGAAGGAACGACGAAAGAACGAGAACGACACGUAAUAUCGUUCCUACUAUCCCCGUACCCAUCAUAUCUUUCUUUUUUCUUUUUUUUUUUUUUUCAGACUUCUUCGUAGAGAAUCAUCAAGUGGUUGCGGUAAAAGCCAUGUUAAAUAAUUACAAAAGUGAGAUGGGAAGAGAAGAGGAAAGAUCGGUCGAAUUUCGAGAAAGAUUCGCAAGACAGACAGAGAAAGAGACAGAGACGAAGAGAGAGAGAGAGAGAGAGAAAGAGAGAGAGAGAGAGAAAGAGAGAGAGAAAGACAAUGAAAGAUUUCGGCGAAUGAAAAAAGUCGAUGAUCUCGAUCGCAGGUGCGGCCGAGGUCGUCGCCAAUGGGAGGCACUCUCUGCGAGAGAGGCUUGCAUUGGCGUUCCGUGCACAUACACACAGAUAUAUAUAUAUAUAUAUGUACUACAUUUAUACAUACAUAUAGAAUACAUAUAUAUAUAUAUAAAAAUAUAUAUAUAUAGAUAUAUAUGUACGUACACACAUCCAUCGUACGGAGCGAUGGUGGCCUCGUCGGACUCUUGGGAGGGAACAGAACAGCGCAGCACAGCACAGCACAGCACAGCUUCGGAAUAGGACUCUUGUUUUUACGUGCGUGUGCGUGCCAAGGAGAAACGGUGAAGAGAGAGAGAGAGAGAGAAAGAGAGAGAAAAGGAAGAGAAAGGAAGGAGGGGUCCUCUAAUUAGGCGAUCGGCCGCCGCCGUCGCCGCCACCAUCGCCACCGCCGUCGAAGCCAUCGGUAUAUACCAAGUACCAUAUAACAUAUGCCAUGGGACGUGAUGCGAUACGUGCUCUACACACGUUAUAUGUAUAACGCUUACGCGUCGAGGAGGAAGAGGAACGGGAAAAGAAAGGAGGCUGAGAAUGAAAUAAAUAAAGAAGAGAAAGAAGUUAGGGAAGGUUUGUGGGGGGAAAGAAGUGGAAGGAGAGAGAGAGAGAGAGAGAGAGAACAGAAAAAAAAAAGAGAAAAAAGUAGUAAGAAAGAAAGAAAGAAAGAAAGUAAGUAAGAAAGAAGGAAAGAAAGAAAGAGGCACCGAAAAAAAGAGGAAGGUCGUAAAUCAACCGGCAAUGAGGCACCCUGGGCCCUACCCUGGGACUCUCUCUCUUUCUUUCUCUGUUUCUCUCUUUACUCGAACGUAGGCCCCACCCGUCUUGCUCCCGGAACCACCCAACCUCUCUCUCUCUCUCUCUCUCUCUCUCUCUCUCUCUCUCUCUCUCUCUCUCUCAUUCUCUCUCGCCCAAUCUUUGACGUUUGCGGACUCCUCGCCCGAGUAAGGGGAAUCACGUACGCAUUUGCUUUAUCUUUUUAUAGUUUCCUCUCUUCUUUUCUUUCUUUCUUUCUUUCUUUCUUUCCUUUUCUAAUCUUUUUUUUUAUCCUUUCCUUUCCCUUUUUCAACGACUCCAUCGUUCAUUCCCUAUGAACAUAACCUCUUCUUAGAAAAAUCUUUCGAGUUUCGAUUCCUCGUAAUAAAUAAUAAAAAGAAAGAAAAAAAAGAAAAGGAAUUACCGGUUGCGAUUCUCGAAAAAUAUCGACACAAGUACAUAUAUAUAUAUAUAUACAUGCAACCAUAUGUAAAUAUGCAUAUAUAUAUAUAUAUAUGCACGUAUACGUAUAUACAUAUCUCGAGUGAAAGCGCAAGUUUGUGUCAUCGAAAUCAUUAUUACGGCAGGUGUGUAUACGUAAAAGGGAAUCCGAGAGGUAGGAGAUUGAAGGUGGAAGGUGUGGGAUGAGGAAAGGAUAGUACGAGUAAUACUCGGUACUAUCUUGCGUAUAUAUGUACUUAUAUAUAUAUUCUACGUACGUAUAUAUACCUAUAUAUAUAUGUAUAUAUAUGUGUACGUAUGUAUGUAAGGAUCUGAAAAAGAUUGGUUUGGAUGAAGGGAGACGAAGAAAUAAAGAGAGGUAUAGAGAGAGAGAGAGAGAGAAAGAGAAGAGAAGAAGAAGGAGAAAGAAUAAAAAUAAGAAAAUGAAGAAGAAGAAGAAGAAGGAUAAGAGAAGAGAUGGAGGAUGAAGAGAAAGAGGAGGAAGAAGAGGAGGAGGUCGAACGCUGGAGGCAACGAGUUGAACGGACGAACGCCGAGAGAGGAACGGAUCCUCGGCGUCCUCGAUCGCGGGAUCCCGGAGCAAAACUAACGAUCCUCUGCUCGCGUCCAAGAUCAACACGACGAUAAUUUAAUACACGAGAUCGCCACCCAGGUGCGCACUGACGUGUACAGAUGCUGUCCGGCCACGUGAGGGGAAGUUGUACGUUCGUUCACGUGCUUGUAUAUCAGUAUAUAUAUACAUAUAUAAUAUAUAUAUAUAUAUAUUUAUAUAUAUUUAUAUAUGCAUUCAUAUGUAUGGAUAUAUAUUUUAUAUAUAUAUAUAUAUAUAUAAAUUUGUAUGUGUAUGUUGAGUGAAAGAAAUUGAGGGGAGAAGAAGACGAUCGAGAAAUCUAAGAGGAGAAAGACGAGAGAGCGGCUAACCUCUCGCGGCUCUUUUGUUCUCUCUUCGCUCCCGUUCCUUUUCUCUCUCUCUCUCUCUCUCUCUCUCUCCCUCUCUUACUCUUUCUCUUUCUUUCUAUCUUUCUCUCUCUCUCUCUCUCUCUCUCUUGGUUCGUUCCUCUAGUUCCCACACUCUCCACAGUUCGCCGCCGUUUCGUUUCGUUAUCUCUUCGAAAGCAGCGAAACGCGCGACAUACUUUGCUCCCGAUUUGUCUCUUCUAACAUCGCAAAAUCUGUUAAAUAUUUAAUUUAAUAUACGAUAUAAAUAUGUACGAACAUAUUACUCAACUUGUAUGAAAGAUCACGUAUAAAUAUCGUGAUGCUUCGGUUUCCUUCCCAAUGGCCGACGUUGUUUCAUGUUCCAUCGUGCGAUCUAGACUUUCACCUUUUUGCCAAGAGACGAAGAAGGAAAUAACAGAUGAAAUCGUUGGAUCGCUGAAACGAUCCACGUUGCAUAAUGGACGGAUGAAUCGCGUCAAUGGAAGAAUUUUUAACAGAAAUAUGAUUCAUUCGAUAAUAAACGAAUAGCUAAAAUUGUUACGUAUUGUAUAUAAGUAACGGAUAAUGGCCGGAAUCGAUCAAGUUCCAUUACGUGGAAAAUGAAGAAGAAUAUAAGAAAAAUAAUAAUUAACAAGGAUGACUUACGAUUAUUUUUCAAAUCAUGAUAAUGGUCAAAGUAAAUGACUUUUCAAUUAUUUUUAUCGAUAGAUUAAGAAAAGAAGAUAAAUUGUUGGAUUAUCAUUUCAACGAACAAAUUUUAAUUUUCUCAAAGAAAAAUAUCUUUCUCCACCUAUUCUCUUUUAUUAAAUUUAA